AUAAUAUACCACACGAGCUUCAAUUAUACAUGGGGACAUCAUAACCUAAAAACAUAACUUACUUCAUAGCUGUCAUAAUUCGGUCCGACUUAAUACUGGAUUCUAAUGAAUCAAAUGUGACAGUACAAAACACCUAAAGAAGAAACAAAAUUUGUCAGGCUUUAGUUUACUAAUGGCAAAGAUGAAAAUGAGAAAUAUCUGAAGAACCCACUUAGCUCUUAAAGAAAUGGGAUAAGUAUAAUCUAUACAAAUCUACACAUGGUACUUAAUACAAUAAUCAUCAAUAACCCGAAGGUCUAAUAUCACAUAGACUACAUAUGUAAAGCAUUGUACUAGAAGUGCUAUGGGAGAAGGAAGGAAUAUUCAUAAAACCUGACCAUAAAGAAAGCCUCAAUGAAGGUCCAGCCAAUAAAAUCGCAUUAAAAAAAUUAAUCUUCUUUGAUGGGACUUAACAUAAUCCAGAGACUCUACAAUAUAUCAUUCAAAACAUUCAGGAUACAACCUACAAAAAAAUAGGAAAUGGGACCCAUCCUCAAGAGAAAAAGACAAUGAAUAGAGAUUGACCCUGAGCUAAUUCAGAUGUGCCAUUAACAGACAAGGACUUUUAAUAGCUAUUAUAUUCAAGGACAUAAAGAAAACCCAAAUGGAAAUUCUAGAACUGAAAAAUAUGUUAUCUCAUAAAUGAAAGGAGAUAACAAGAGUCAGUGAACAAGAAGACAGAUUAAUAGAAAUUGCCCAAUCUAAAGAAUAGAAGGAGUGGAGGGAGAACAUAGUCUCAGGGACCUGUGGGACAAUUUCAAGAGGACUAACAGAUGUACUUGCAAUCCCAGAAGGAGAGAAAAGAGAGGGAGAUACCAAAAAAUAUUUGAAGAAAUUAUGGCUGAAAUUUCUCAAGUUAAAUGAAAGACAAAUUUAUAGGUUCAAGCUCAGGAAACUGUUAGGAUAAAUACAAAGAAAACCACACUGUUCACAGUCAUACUGCUGAAAACCAAAGACAAUAUCCUGAAAGCACCAUGAAGAAAACAAUAACGUACAAUGAACAAUGAUUUGAAUGAGUCCCAACUUUUUAUCAGCUGAAAAUGGAGGGGAAGACUCCACUGGAACAUUUUUUUGUGCAAAACAAACAAUCCCUCCCCCCAAAAAAACCCACCACUCCAAAACACAAAAUCUAUAUCCAGCAAAAAGAUUCUUUGUGUUUAAAUGCAAAAUAAAGACAUUUCAAAUAAAUUUAUUUGAAUUGUCAGAAAACCCACAGGACAAUACUAACAGAGGACUAGUUGUAAACAUGGAUCUUCAGGAAGAAAUAAAAAGUAUUAGAAAUGGUAAAUAUAUGGGUCAAUAUAUAGAAAAAAAAUCUUUCCCUCUUACCUUCUUUAAAAUACAUGACUGAAAUAAAAGUUUUAACAUAGCCUUGUAGAGUUUAUAACAUGUAGAUGUAGCUCAUAAGCCAACUACAGUAUAAAGAAUGGAAGAAGGGAUAAAUAGACCUAAAUUGUUGCAAACUUCCUCAUUUUAUGUGAAGUGGUACAAAAUUAACUCUAGAAAGACUGAAAAGUUAAAGUUGUAUAUUGUAAUCUCUAUGGUAACCAUUGAAAAAUGCAGAGGUAUAGCUAAAAGGCAAAUAGACAAAUUAAAAUGAAAUUUAAAAAAAAACACCCUGAUUAAUCCAAAAAGAAGUCAGAAAGAACAGAAAAACAAAAACAAAGGGGCCAAACAAAACUAAUAAUGAAAUAACAGACCUAAGUUCAAUCACAUCACUACUUAAACUGAACAUGAAUGGACUAAGUCCAAUUAAAGGCAGAGAGUGUCAGAACGGUUAGCAAAAGUAUGUAUAAUAUCCUAAUGGAGUUAUUUAAAAAACUUUAUUAAGAGGCAUAAAAAAAACCUGACUCAAAAGUGAGGUAGACUAUAUUCAUUGUAAAGACUGUGAUUUAAAUUGUAAAAAUAUCAUUUCUCAAAUGAAUUCAUAAAUUCAGUGAAAUUUAAAUCUAAAUAUUUUUCAGAACUUGAUAUAAUAGUAAAAUUCAAACGAAGGCACAAAUGUAACAUAAUACCUAAGAUAAUAAUCGAAGGAGAGGGGAGAAUAAACAAGGAUUUGCUUUUCAUAUAUUAAGAUAUACUAAGAUGAUAAUAAUUAAAACAAUUUGAAAAUGGGCCAGGAAACUCAUAGAAAAAUGGAGCAGAAUAUAUUUCAAAAUGUAUUUGUAAACUCUGAAAAUAAGGUGACAUUGCAAAUCAAUGGGGAAAAAAUGAAAUACUAAAAAACAGUUUCGGAAAAUUGGCUCAUUCUGGAGGUUUCCACCUUGCACCAUGUGCAGGAAUAAACUCCAAGAUAGAUUAAUGGUCUAAAUUUGAAAGCUAAAACUAUAAUAUUAAUAGACAAGAAAGUCAGUGCAUAUUUUUGUGACUUUGGGGUAAGGAAGGAAAUUUCUAAAUAUGACUUGAAAAACACAAACAACAAAAGUUGAACAGGGAAGGAUUAAUUACAUCAAAACUAAAGAUUUCAGGUUCAUUGUAGACAUACAGUAGUAGACAUAUAGUAGGCUACCACAAACAAAGUUAAAAGGCAUAUGAGAAAGAGGGAGAUAAUACAUACAAAUUCUGGUUAUUGAAAGGAGUAACAUAUGAAACACUUAAAAAAUCACUGAAAAAUAGCAGAAAAAAGACAGUUAACCAUACUGAAAAAAAAAUGCCCAAAGAAUAUGAACAGAUAAACCAAAAAAGAGCAAACCUGAACCAGUGCUACCACUUUGCACACAGCUCCAGGGACACUAUAUGAAAAUAGGGUCCUAGAGGUAUACAACCCCCAGGGUAUGGUUUAUACAGUGACCAUAUUGACUGGCUAUUAUAUAAAGACUAGCGGCCAAGUGCAUGAAAUUUGUGCACUCGGCAAAGGGGGGUUUUUGGGGGAUGUCCGUCAGCCCGGCUAUGCCCUCCUCCAGCGUCGCUGGCCGGGUAGCCUGGGCCUCCCUCUGCAGGGCGAUUGAUCGCGGAGCCCUCUGAUUGAUCACCCUGUAGAGCGUGGCCUGGGCCUCCCUCUUAGGGGUGAUCGCGGAGCCCCCCCGAUUGAUUGCCCUACCGGCUGGUGGCCUGGGCCUCCCUCUGCGGGGCACUCGUGGGGCGAUGGUGGGGCCUCCCGACCAAUCUGGCCUAGCACCAGUGCGUGUCAUAGCAUGGUCAUCCAGAUGGUCAUUCUGCUGUUUGGUUGUUCAGUCAAUUUGCAUAUUAUGCUUUUAUUAUUAUAGAAUAUCUCACUCAUAAUUAGGGCAACACAAAUGAAAACAAUGAUACACCACUUUAUACCCAUUAGAUUGGCAAAGUUAAAUUAGGGAUUAAUAGAAGAAAAAGGAGGUACAAAGCAUAAUAUACACAAAACAACAGAUACACAUACAUGUUAAAUACAAGAGAAUGGGUGCCUAUGUAAGGGAAAAGAAUAGACUGAGGUACAUACUAAAUGGAGAAAAUAAAUUGAGGAUCUUGAAUAGACAAUAUCCCAUAAACUAAGGAAUAUGAGUGAUUCAUUUAUAUGUACCUCAAAAAAGCUUUUAAGAAAUU
Myotis daubentonii (Daubenton's bat) is the source of this 3555-nucleotide long non-coding RNA. RefSeq lists it as uncharacterized. The record is from RefSeq and is a predicted model, not a curated record. Lineage: Eukaryota; Metazoa; Chordata; Mammalia; Chiroptera; Vespertilionidae. The transcript has 2 exons.